GACGAACGCUGGCGGCGUGCUUAACACAUGCAAGUCGAACGGAAAGGCCCUGCUUUUGUGGGGUGAUCGAGUGGCGAACGGGUGAGUAACACGUGAGUAACCUGCCCUUGACUUUGGUAUAACUUCAGGAAACUGGGGCUAAUACCGGAUAGGAGCUCCUGCUGCAUGGAGGGGGUUGGAAAGUUUCGGCGGUUGUGGAUGGACUCGCGGCUUAUCAGCUUGUUGGUGGGGUAGUUGCUUACCAAGGCUUUGAAGGGUAGCCGGCCUGUGAGGGUGACCGGCCACAUUGGGACUGAGAUACGGCCCAGACUCCUACGUGAGGCAGCAGUGGGGAAUAUUGCACAAUGGGAGGAAGUCUGAGGAAGCAACGUCGCGGGCGGGAUGACGGUCUUCGGGUUGUAAACCGCUUUCGCCUGUGACGAAGCGUGAGUGACGGUAAUGGGUAAAGAAGCACCGGCUAACUACGUG
RNAcentral lists this ribosomal RNA (468 nucleotides) under uncultured bacterium. Its description in RNAcentral is "partial 16S ribosomal RNA". It matches the Rfam family "Bacterial small subunit ribosomal RNA", at positions 28 to 507 of the family's 1533-position model. The record is from RNAcentral.